GGGAGGCGGGGAGGGGGCUCUUCGGGAGGAACAGCCUCGUGGGGGUCCUUCCCGCAGUGCUGCUCCUUUAAGGCCAAGCCCCGCCUCUCUUUGGUUCCAGGGUGACGUCACGGCAAGGCCAGCCCCGCCCCGAUCCCUUGGAAACAGGCAGGCAGAGGGGAGGGGGGCCUCCGCGGGCGGAAGUGAGGGGGCGCUUCCGGUUGGGCCCAGCCGAGGGAGAGGCGCCAACUCUUCGCGUGUUCCUCGGGAGCCUCGCGCGGACUCAGAACCCGGACCCUUCCCCCGGCAGAGAAGGCUGUCCUGCGAAAGGAGGGAGGCUGCAGGGAGGGAGUGGCAGAAGAAGCUUCAGGCUGAAGUGGAAAAGAACCAGCAGGUGCAGAAAGGUGAGGCGGACUUGGGAGUUGAAAAAGCCAUCCUCAGCUUAUACUUGGGUGCUUUCCUGCCAGGACCCUCACCUCUCCGCACAGCAACCCAGCUCUCCUUCCUCUUCUGCUCUCUUGUGCAGUGCUCACCUUCCUCUCUUCCUUUCUCGACGCAGUGCACACCUUCCUCUCCUCUUUCAACGCAGUGUGCACCUUCCUCCCCUCUCGGUGUAGUGUGCACCUUCCUCUCCUCUCUCGACGCGGUGCGCACCUUCCUUUCCUCCUCUCAACGCAGUGCGCACCUCUCUCCUCUCUCGGUGCAGUGUGUACCUUCCUCUCCUCCUUUCUCGACGCAGUGUGCACCUUCCUCUCCUCUCGAAGCAGUGCGCACCUUCCUCCUCUCUCGAUGCAGUGCGCACCUUCCUCUCCUCUCUCGACGCAGUGCGCACCUUCCUCCUCUCUUGACACAGUGUGCACCUUCCUCUCCUCUCUCGACACAGUGCACACCUUCCUCUCCUCUCUUGACGCAGUGCGCACCUUCCUCUCCUCUCUCGGUGCAGUGUGUACCUUCCUCUCCUCCUUUCUCGACGCAGUGCGCACCUUUCUCUCUUGACACAGUGUGCACCUUCCUCUCCUCUCUCGACGCAGUGUGCACCUUCCUCUCCUCUCUCGACGCAGUGUGCACCUUCCUCUCCUCUCUUGACGCAGUGCGCACCUUCCUCUCCUCUCUCGGUGCAGUGUGUACCUUCCUCUCCUCCUUUCUCGACGCAGUGCGCACCUUUCUCUCCUCUCUUGACACAGUGUGCACCUUCCUCUCCUCUCUCGACGCAGUGUGCACCUUCCUCUCCUCUCUCGACGCAGUGUGCACCUUCCUCUCCUCUCUCGACGCAGUGUGCACCUUCCUCUCCUCUCUCGACGCAGUGUGCACCUUCCUCUCCUCUCUCGAUGCAGUGCGCACCUUCCUUUCCUCCUCUUGACACAGUACGUACAUUCCUCUCCUCUCUUGGUGCAGUGUGUACCUUCCUCUCCUCCUCUCUCAACGCAGUGUGCACCUUCCUUUCCUCCUCUUGACGCAGUACGUACAUUCCUCUCCUCCUCGGUGCUCGUCUUUUCCACUUUUCCUUAUUCCUUUACACACAGCAUAUCCCCCAAAAUGUAUACUGAAAAUAAGCUAUGGUGAUUAUUGGAAGCAAAUUUACAUUGAAGGAGGUUAGAAUAAUGAUUUAAUCAGAGUUGGGCAGCCUUAAAUCUUAAAUUCCAGUUGUAUGUAAAUAUUUAAAAACAUUUAACCUACUGAUGCCUCAAUAAUAUAAUUUUAUUGCUAUCUACCCCACCUUUCUCUACCCAGAAGGGGACUCAUUGUUAAGAUACGACAUGAAGACAAAAUAUUAAUUAAUUAUAUCAGUAUUCAACAGGCUUUUAAACAUUAUUACAGUUUUUUUUCGUGUCAGGAACAACUUGAGAAACUGCAAGUCACUUCUGGAGUGAGAGAAUUGGCCGUCUGCAAGGACGUUGCCCAGGGGACGCCCGGAUGUUUUGAUGUUUUUACCAUCCUUGUGGGAGGCUUCUCUCAUGUCCCCGCAUGGAGCUGGAGCUGAUAGAGGGAGCUCAUCCACGCUCUCCCCGGGUG
Anolis carolinensis (green anole) is the source of this 1992-nucleotide long non-coding RNA. NCBI's taxonomy places the organism in Eukaryota, Metazoa, Chordata, Lepidosauria, Squamata, Anolidae. The record is from Ensembl.